This is a long non-coding RNA of Hydra vulgaris (swiftwater hydra), 1130 nucleotides long. RefSeq lists it as uncharacterized. NCBI's taxonomy places the organism in Eukaryota, Metazoa, Cnidaria, Hydrozoa, Anthoathecata, Hydridae. The record is from RefSeq and is a predicted model, not a curated record.
CACUAGACGCGGAGCGGUACAUUUAUUCUAGAGCGGUAUAUUAGCGGUUAUAGGUUCUCAUACAACUAGUAUAAUCUUUUAAAAUGUUUACUUUUAAUCUCAGCAAACUUUUGUAAUGAUUUUCCUCCAAGGUAUAUUUUUACAAGUAAAAAUUUAUUUUUGCAGUCCACAUUUUUCAUCGCUUUAUGCUGGUUAUACAUGUACUAGAAAGAGCACCUAAAUCUGAAUAAAUAAGUUGUUUCAAGACUUACUCAUUGAUAUGAACACCGCGACUACAAAAGUGGAUAUAAAUUUUCAAUCAGAAAUCUGAAUAUCAAUUUGCAAUUAUUACAAAUAACAUUUUACAAAAAACCUUACCUAUGUCACAAUCUGUACAAUCUAUAUUCUAAGUAUCAUCUUUGUCUGAGAUUGCUAUGAAGCCAGAAACAAAAAAAGCAAAGCUGCACAAGUUAGUCAUGCACCUCUAACUUUUUUUGGCAGAAAACAAAAAAAAGGGAUAUAGUUAAUUAUUUGUUUAUGUCUUUUGAUAUGUACUUCUAUUGAGUGUUUUUUUAAUGUUAUGCUAUUGCUAGUAGUUUAGACUAUUUUUCUUAGACUAUUUUUGUUAUUAUUAAUAAUUUUUUUUUGGUAAAGAAAUCUCAAUGUAGUUUAUAAUAAUAAUUCAAGGUUUUUUUUUUUUUUUUUUUUUUUUUUUAAAAUUUAAGAAAUAAUUUUAUAAUUUUUAACUAGUAAUUAACUCAUCUAGAAAGAUCUAUAUCAUGAACUAAAAAUGUUAUACUGAUAAGAUAUUGUGCGUUGAAUUUUUUAAAAAAAAACUUUUUUUAUAGCCACUAGUUAUUAAAAAACAUCUUUUAGAUUAGAAUGUUGAGAAACUUUGUAAGAUACUCAAGAACAAAGAAUCAGAUGAUACCAGAUCUGUUGAUAGUUUUAAUAAGUUUAUAUUUAAUGAUAUUGUUUUAAAAUUUCUAAAAAAGUUUGUAAAAUUUUAUAAAUUAUCGGUGCUUAUUGUUUUUUAAAUAAAAAUAUCUGGGCAUUUGUAAUUUUCCGGAAUAGUCAGAAAUUAGUCCGGAUGAACUGUAAACUUUUUUUUUAUAAAAACCGGAUAUUUUUCUUUUAAAUAUGGAAAUAUA